RNAcentral lists this transfer RNA (76 nucleotides) under Polaromonas sp. RNAcentral's name for it is "tRNA-Trp". It matches the Rfam family "tRNA". From Rfam's summary of the family: Transfer RNA (tRNA) molecules are approximately 80 nucleotides in length. Lineage: Bacteria; Pseudomonadati; Pseudomonadota; Betaproteobacteria; Burkholderiales; Comamonadaceae. The record is from RNAcentral. RNAcentral also lists the same sequence under 5 other names.
AGGGGUAUAGCUCAAUUGGCAGAGCGUCGGUCUCCAAAACCGAAGGUUGUAAGUUCGAUUCUUACUGCCCCUGCCA